Molecule: ribosomal RNA, 460 nt
Filed under: uncultured bacterium
Lineage: Bacteria
Description: partial 16S ribosomal RNA
Rfam family: Bacterial small subunit ribosomal RNA
Source: RNAcentral
CCUACGGGUGGCAGCAGUGAGGAAUAUUGGUCAAUGGACGAGAGUCUGAACCAGCCAAGUAGCGUGAAGGAUGACUGCCCUAUGGGUUGUAAACUUCUUUUAUAUGGGAAUAAAACGUUCCACGUGUGGGAUUUUGUAUGUACCAUAUGAAUAAGGAUCGGCUAACUCCGUGCCAGCAGCCGCGGUAAUACGGAGGAUCCGAGCGUUAUCCGGAUUUAUUGGGUUUAAAGGGAGCGUAGGUGGAUUGUUAAGUCAGUUGUGAAAGUUUGUGGCUCAACCGUAAAAUUGCAGUUGAAACUGGCAGUCUUGAGUACAGUAGAGGUGGGCGGAAUUCGUGGUGUAGCGGUGAAAUGCUUAGAUAUCACGAAGAACUCCGAUUGCGAAGGCAGUUCACUGGACUGCAACUGACACUGAGGCUCGAAAGUGUGGGUAUCAAACAGGAUUAGAUACCCCUGUAGUC